Molecule: ribosomal RNA, 441 nt
Filed under: uncultured bacterium
Lineage: Bacteria
Description: partial 16S ribosomal RNA
Rfam family: Bacterial small subunit ribosomal RNA
Source: RNAcentral
CCUACGGGGGGCAGCAGUGGGGAAUAUUGCACAAUGGGCGAAAGCCUGAUGCAGCAACGCCGCGUGAAGGAAGACGGUUCUCGGAUUGUAAACCUCUGUUUUUAGUGAAGAAUAAUGAUGGUAACUAAGCAGCAAGCCACGGCUAACCACGUGCCAGCAGCCGCGGGACUACGGAGGAGGCAAGCGUUGUCCGGAAUUACUGGGUGUAAAGGGAGCGUAGGCGGGAGGACAAGUCAGCUGUGAAAACUACGGGCUUAACCUGGAGACUGCAGUUGAAACUGGCUGUCUUGAGAGAAGUAGAGGUUGGCGGAAUGCCGGGUGUAGCGGUGAAAUGCGUAGAUAUUCGGAGGAACACCGAUGGCGAAGGCAGCCAACUGGGCUUUAACUGACGCUGAGGCUCGAAAGUGUGGGGAGCAAACAGGAUUAGAUACCCUUGUAGUC